This 492-nucleotide ribosomal RNA is filed under the name uncultured bacterium. RNAcentral describes it as "partial 16S ribosomal RNA". It matches the Rfam family "Bacterial small subunit ribosomal RNA", at positions 29 to 507 of the family's 1533-position model. The record is from RNAcentral.
AGUGAACGCUGGCGGUAGGCCUAACACAUGCAAGUCGAACGGCAGCACAGUAAGAGCUUGCUCUUACGGGUGGCGAGUGGCGGACGGGUGAGGAAUACAUCGGAAUCUACUUUUUCGUGGGGGAUAACGUAGGGAAACUUACGCUAAUACCGCAUACGACCUACGGGUGAAAGCAGGGGAUCUUCGGACCUUGCGCGAUUGAAUGAGCCGAUGUCGGAUUAGCUAGUUGGCGGGGUAAAGGCCCACCAAGGCGACGAUCCGUAGCUGGUCUGAGAGGAUGAUCAGCCACACGAGAACUGAGACACGGACCAGACUCCUACGGGAGGCAGCAGUGGGGAAUAUUGGACAAUGGGCGCAAGCCUUAUCCAGCCAUACCGCGUGGGUGAAGAAGGCCUUCGGGUUGUAAAGCCCUUUUGUUGGGAAAGAAAAGCAGCAGGUUAAUACCCCGCUGUUCUGACGGUACCCAAAGAAUAAGCACCGGCUAACUUCGUG